Molecule: ribosomal RNA, 513 nt
Filed under: uncultured Acidobacteriota bacterium
Lineage: Bacteria; Pseudomonadati; Acidobacteriota
Description: bacterial SSU rRNA
Rfam family: Bacterial small subunit ribosomal RNA
Source: RNAcentral
GCCUGACGCAGCAACGCCGCGUGGAGGAUGAAGGCCUUCGGGUCGUAAACUCCUGUCAGUGGGGACGAAAGCCUCGCAAGAGGUUUGACUGUACCCGCUGAGGAAGCCACGGCUAACUCCGUGCCAGCAGCCGCGGUAAUACGGAGGUGGCAAGCGUUGUUCGGAAUUACUGGGCGUAAAGGGCGCGUAGGCGGCUUGGCAAGUCAGAUGUGAAAGCCCCGGGCUUAACUCGGGAAUUGCAUCUGAAACUGCUUUGCUUGAGUCCUGGAGGGGAUAGUGGAAUUCCCAGUGUAGCGGUGAAAUGCGUAGAUAUUGGGAGGAACACCUGCGGCGAAGGCGGCUAUCUGGACAGUGACUGACGCUGAGGCGCGAAAGCUAGGGGAGCGAACGGGAUUAGAUACCCCGGUAGUCCUAGCUGUAAACGGUGGGCACUUGGUGUUGGGGGUAUUGAGUCCCUCGGUGCCGGAGUUAACACGUUAAGUGCCCCGCCUGGGGAGUACGGUCGCAAGACUG